Molecule: ribosomal RNA, 254 nt
Filed under: uncultured bacterium
Lineage: Bacteria
Description: partial 16S ribosomal RNA
Rfam family: Bacterial small subunit ribosomal RNA
Source: RNAcentral
UACGGAGGGUGCGAGCGUUGUCCGGAAUCAUUGGGCGUAAAGGGCGCGUAGGUGGCCCGGUCAGUUCGUGGUGAAAGCGCGGGGCUCAACCCUGCGUCGGCCAUGAAUACUGCCGCGGCUGGAGCACUGUAGAGGCAGGCGGAAUUCCGGGUGUAGCGGUGGAAUGCGUAGAGAUCCGGAAGAACACCGGUGGCGAAGGCGGCAUCCUGGACCGACACUGACGCUGAGGAGCGAAAGCCAGGGGAGCAAACGGG